Molecule: ribosomal RNA, 265 nt
Filed under: uncultured bacterium
Lineage: Bacteria
Description: partial 16S ribosomal RNA
Rfam family: Bacterial small subunit ribosomal RNA
Source: RNAcentral
GUCCACGCUGUAAACGGUGAGUGCUCGUCGUCGUGGGUAUUGACCCCUGCGGUGACCAAGUUAACACAUGAAGCACUCCGCCUGGGAAGUACUGUCGCAAGACUAAAACUCAAAGAAAUUGACGGGGGCCCCGCACAAGCGGUGGAGCAUGUUGUUUAAUUCGAAGCAACGCGCAGAACCUUACCUGGAUUUGACAUCUCUGGAAUCUUCCUGAAAGGUAAGAGUGCCUUCGGGAGCCAGAAGACAGGUGCUGCAUGGCUGUCGU